Molecule: unclassified non-coding RNA, 329 nt
Filed under: soil metagenome
Description: partial contains 5.8S ribosomal RNA, internal transcribed spacer 2, and large subunit ribosomal RNA
Rfam family: 5.8S ribosomal RNA (bases 1-120)
Source: RNAcentral
GAUGAAGAACGCAGCGAAAUGCGAUAAGUAAUGUGAAUUGCAGAAUUCAGUGAAUCAUCGAAUCUUUGAACGCACAUUGCGCCCCCUGGUAUUCCGGGGGGCAUGCCUGUUCGAGCGUCAUUACAACCCUCAAGCUCUGCUUGGUAUUGGGCCCCGCCAGUUCUGGCGGGCCCUAAAGUCAGUGGCGGUGCCCUCCGGCUCCGAGCGUAGUAAUUCUUCUCGCUCUGGAGACCCGGUUGUGUGCUUGCCAACAACCCCCAAUUUUUUAAGGUUGACCUCGGAUCAGGUAGGGAUACCCGCUGAACUUAAGCAUAUCAAUAAGCGGAGGA